UUCUUUGGAAGAAAGAGAGAUGGAAAAGAAAAGGGGGUUUUGAGAUUUUGUGAAAGAAAGAGGUUAGAAUGUAGAAAUUGAAGAGUUUUUAGCUUAAGGUCCCUCCAUUUUAGUACACAAAGCAAACAAAAGUUUGUGACUUUCUUUCUUGUUGUUUCUGUGAUUUUAUUUGUGAAAGAAAGAAAUAGUCUUUUCUCUCUUCUCUCUUCUCUCUUUCUCUCUGCACAAUAAAGAAGAAAUUUUUUUAGAAAAAGUGAAAUAAAAAUGGUUUUAUCUUUUUGAUAUGGAUAAUAAUAAUAAUAUUCUCUCUCUCUCUCUCUCUCUCUGAUAUUUAGGCAGUUUGCUUUUUAUACUUGUCCGAUCAAUACGAGGUUCUCAUCUAAUGGUUGUGGUUGUUUUAGAUUAUUAUAUCUGACCGUUGGAUUUAUUCUAUUGGUAUUUGAUUUAUGUAUUUUUUAUUUUUAUUUUUUUUAUAAAUAAAAAUAUAUUAAAGCCAAAAAUUUACUUUUUGCUCUCCAAGGUUAUUUUCAUGUGUGGUAGACUUGUGAAUUCUAAACUAUAGUUCAAUAAUUUGUACUUGUAAAUAUAAUUUGAUUACCAACAAAACAAAAAUGUACUUGUAAAUAAUUUGUCGCUUAAAUGAUCUGGAUAUGGCUCACCCUUUCUUUAUUGGUUCAAUUAAUAAAACUAUUAUCAAUUAAUUACCCUUUCUGGAAAAAAAAAACUAUUGGUAAACAAUUUUUUCAAUGUUAUUUAUUUAUUGAUACAAAGAAAUGAAGAAUUACUCUUAAAAUUUAUUUAUUUAUUUUUAAAUAUGUGGAAAUUCUUCACAUCUACUAAAAACCUUGAAAGCAUUCAUGCCCGAGCAUUUUAUAUUGUAGUCAUUCUCCACUUCCAACAUUUACUUAAUUUAGUGAUUGAUUCUUAAUUUAGUUUAAUCUUGAAAUUUACUCAUACUUAAUACUUAGUACUAGAAUGUAUUUUUGACCUUAUUGGGUAAGAUAUGACAUAAUACUGUGGCGUUAUAAAUGAAAAAAAUGUAGAGAAAAAUAUGGGCAAACCGUGGAAAAAGAGGGGAAUGGCAUUGAUGUAAGGAGCAGGAAAUGGGGGGCAUUAAUGGGAGGGAAGAAAGGAAAAUAGGAAAUGAAGGAGAUGGAUGAUAAUAUGGGGGACAUAACAAAACAUGGAAAGAGAAAUAAAACUAAAGGGAGACAAGAAAGCGGCACUUUUCUAGUUGGCUUGCCGGGUGGGGAACGGGACACCCACACCUUACCUUCUUCUUCUUCUUCUUCUUCUCUCUCUU
Molecule: long non-coding RNA, 1303 nt
Filed under: Aquilegia coerulea
Lineage: Eukaryota; Viridiplantae; Streptophyta; Magnoliopsida; Ranunculales; Ranunculaceae
Description: long non-coding RNA (ACOE_LNC000871)
Source: RNAcentral